UUUAAAUUGAAGAGUUUGAUCAUGGCUCAGAUUGAACGCUGGCGGCAGGCCUAACACAUGCAAGUCGAACGGUAACAGGAAACAGCUUGCUGUUUCGCUGACGAGUGGCGGACGGGUGAGUAAUGUCUGGGAAACUGCCCGAUGGAGGGGGAUAACUACUGGAAACGGUAGCUAAUACCGCAUAACGUCGCAAGACCAAAGAGGGGGACCUUCGGGCCUCUUGCCAUCGGAUGUGCCCAGAUGGGAUUAGCUAGUAGGUGGGGUAACGGCUCACCUAGGCGACGAUCCCUAGCUGGUCUGAGAGGAUGACCAGCCACACUGGAACUGAGACACGGUCCAGACUCCUACGGGAGGCAGCAGUGGGGAAUAUUGCACAAUGGGCGCAAGCCUGAUGCAGCCAUGCCGCGUGUAUGAAGAAGGCCUUCGGGUUGUAAAGUACUUUCAGCGGGGAGGAAGGGAGUAAAGUUAAUACCUUUGCUCAUUGACGUUACCCGCAGAAGAAGCACCGGCUAACUCCGUGCCAGCAGCCGCGGUAAUACGGAGGGUGCAAGCGUUAAUCGGAAUUACUGGGCGUAAAGCGCACGCAGGCGGUUUGUUAAGUCAGAUGUGAAAUCCCCGGGCUCAACCUGGGAACUGCAUCUGAUACUGGCAAGCUUGAGUCUCGUAGAGGGGGGUAGAAUUCCAGGUGUAGCGGUGAAAUGCGUAGAGAUCUGGAGGAAUACCGGUGGCGAAGGCGGCCCCCUGGACGAAGACUGACGCUCAGGUGCGAAAGCGUGGGGAGCAAACAGGAUUAGAUACCCUGGUAGUCCACGCCGUAAACGAUGUCGACUUGGAGGUUGUGCCCUUGAGGCGUGGCUUCCGGAGCUAACGCGUUAAGUCGACCGCCUGGGGAGUACGGCCGCAAGGUUAAAACUCAAAUGAAUUGACGGGGGCCCGCACAAGCGGUGGAGCAUGUGGUUUAAUUCGAUGCAACGCGAAGAACCUUACCUGGUCUUGACAUCCACGGAAGUUUUCAGAGAUGAGAAUGUGCCUUCGGGAACCGUGAGACAGGUGCUGCAUGGCUGUCGUCAGCUCGUGUUGUGAAAUGUUGGGUUAAGUCCCGCAACGAGCGCAACCCUUAUCCUUUGUUGCCAGCGGUCCGGCCGGGAACUCAAAGGAGACUGCCAGUGAUAAACUGGAGGAAGGUGGGGAUGACGUCAAGUCAUCAUGGCCCUUACGACCAGGGCUACACACGUGCUACAAUGGCGCAUACAAAGAGAAGCGACCUCGCGAGAGCAAGCGGACCUCAUAAAGUGCGUCGUAGUCCGGAUUGGAGUCUGCAACUCGACUCCAUGAAGUCGGAAUCGCUAGUAAUCGUGGAUCAGAAUGCCACGGUGAAUACGUUCCCGGGCCUUGUACACACCGCCCGUCACACCAUGGGAGUGGGUUGCAAAAGAAGUAGGUAGCUUAACCUUCGGGAGGGCGCUUACCACUUUGUGAUUCAUGACUGGGGUGAAGUCGUAACAAGGUAACCGUAGGGGAACCUGCGGUUGGAUCACCUCCUUA
RNAcentral lists this ribosomal RNA (1545 nucleotides) under Escherichia coli. RNAcentral's name for it is "16S ribosomal RNA". It matches the Rfam family "Bacterial small subunit ribosomal RNA". Lineage: Bacteria; Pseudomonadati; Pseudomonadota; Gammaproteobacteria; Enterobacterales; Enterobacteriaceae. The record is from RNAcentral.